UGGGGAAUAUUGCACAAUGGGCGCAAGCCUGAUGCAGCCAUGCCGCGUGUAUGAAGAAGGCCUUCGGGUUGUAAAGUACUUUCAGCGGGGAGGAAGGGAGUAAAGUUAAUACCUUUGCUCAUUGACGUAACCCGCAGAAGAAGCACCGGCUAACUCCGUGCCAGCAGCCGCGGUAAUACGGAGGGUGCAAGCGUUAAUCGGAAUUACUGGGCGUAAAGCGCACGCAGGCGGUUUGUUAAGUCAGAUGUGAAAUCCCCGGGCUAAACCUGCGAACUGCAUGUGAUACUGGCAAGCAUGAGUCUCGUAGAGGGGGGUAGAAUGCCAGGUGUAGCGGUGAAAUGCGUAGAGAUCUGGAGGAAUAACGGUGGCGAAGGCAGCCCCCUGGACGAAGACUGACGGUCAGGUGCGAAAGCGUGGGGAGCAAACAGG
This 429-nucleotide ribosomal RNA is filed under the name Chloroflexota bacterium. Its description in RNAcentral is "Chloroflexi bacterium partial 16S ribosomal RNA". It matches the Rfam family "Bacterial small subunit ribosomal RNA", at positions 355 to 776 of the family's 1533-position model. Lineage: Bacteria; Bacillati; Chloroflexota. The record is from RNAcentral.